UCAGACCUGAGCCAUAGCAGCAACUGGAGCCACCGCAGUGACAACACCAGGUCCUUAACUCACGGCAAGACCAGGCAGCUCUGAGGACCCAAUCACAUUUUAUAAACCAGCUCCAGGUUGAAAUCUCAUUGUCUGGAGACCAUGGCCACGGACAUAGCCUUGUACUUUCGCAUCUUAGACCCACAAUAUCGAGAUCCCACUUUCCUCCUAGACUUAGAAAGAAUCAGAAACUCAGUUUGCUGUUAAAAUGACCACAGUGUACUUUAUUUAAUGAUUUUGGUACCUUGUGUUGCAAUAAAAUAAAAAAAAAAUCUACAAAAUCCAAAUAUAUAAAAUUUCAAGUUUCUUUUUUUUUUUUAAAGUUUUACAAGAAAAAAUCAUGUAACCAAGGAAAUCUGUUCAUUGUGAAGCACUACUUUCCACGUCGUUUCAUCACAAAUUGCAACUUACUUAACAGACCAAAAUAACGAUGGUACUGCAGUACAUCAAAUACUCCACACACUGUGCUUUCAACUACAGCAGGUGGGGCCGUGCCCAGUGACAGCGGCCUCCAGCCGAUAAAGACACUCUUACGAUCCGCACGCUAAAGGAAUGUUUGGAUACAUGGAGUUUGAAUAUAUAUAUUUACAGGAAGGAAAAAAAAUUAAUAACUAGUUUAAUUCUUUUCAAAUAAAAUUCCAAAUACAUUUGUACAGUGUUUACAAAGUAAAAGCACAAGAACUGCCAAGGUUCUCUUUCGGGUCCAGGUACUGUGCUUGUACUGGGGGGGAACUUCUAUGCCAUCCCCUAAACCCACACGGGGUCUCUCCGACCUCAUUUCUGUAUGGGUCACGGGAGAGAGAAGCACAGGAAUGGCCCUUGCACACACGUGGAAGGUCAUGCAGAGAGUUGGCAAACAGGGAACUGAGAAAUGAUUGGUCCAUUCUCUUCAGCCGGCCAUUCACCUCCCGCCUGGUACAUUUGCUUUUCAGAGAGAGAUUUCAAACAACAACCACAACCGAAAAUUGAACUGGGGAAGGAGCACAGAAUGUUUAAGGCAAAUUAAGCAAAGAGAGAGCAGCUUCUCUUGGUGUUGAGUGGAAAUGAGGAUUGCACCCCAAAUCGAACUUAGAAACGAACAAAAUGAAGUACAACCUCUUAAGGGGGGGUUGCUUAUACACAAAAUUUUUGAAAAUUGCUUUUGCACCAAGUAUCCUUUUGAGAUUUUAAAUAAACGACUCGGUUACAAAGUGCAUGCUUUCAUGUUUCGAAAGAAAACUGUAGCUGAGGUAGUUCGAUGUGAAACUGAUUUACUUAAAAUAACUGGAGAAUGAAGAACACAUUUUUGUCAGUAGCAAAAAUCCUUGCCAUCAGGAGGCAGGUUUAUAUUGUGCAAUGAUUUAAUGCCAAGCAAAAUGCUUCUAUUUUCUUAUCGGAUGGCAUUAAUUAAACCGAAAUAUUAGUGGUAGCAGUAUGUAUUUCCAAUUGGUUUGCUAGGAUGUCAGUACGGAUGAAGUCUAUAUCCCUAGUCAUUUUAGAAUUCAUGCUUUCCCUAUUUCUGCAUUGAAGCUGUAACAUAAGAUGGCAUUGGUUAUCAUCACUAGACUCUUUGAUCUAAACUGUGAAAAGGAUUUAGUAAAAACGGAGAAAAAUCAAUAGGAAGGAUGAUUUCACUCUACUCUUAUGAUGUUUUUGUCUUUAGCCCUAAAUUCAACGUACAAUUUGGUUUCAAAGGGGGAGGAAAUGCCUGGUUUACUGGCUGCCCUCCUCAUUCUGAGAAUGGGAAAACCUACCUUGCCUGUCCAUCAGCCUGUCUCUCUCCAGGCUCUUGAACUGUCUGCUAAUUGAGAAGAAAAGCAGACACAGUUGGGUCUCUUCCUGCCUCAAGAGAGGCUUCAGGUAGGACCCUCAAAAAGCAGUGGACCCAAAGCUUUGUUUUUCAGCAAUCUCGCACCAUCUAGAUAUGAAAAGAGUAAUAAUAAUCUGCCAAGAAUAAGAAGGCAUGUUGGGAGACAUUCCUUUUGAGCAAAACAGAAUUUCCCACGUGUUUCCUACCAUUUGUUUAUGGGAUAGAACAUUACCUGGAAGAAGCCAUGGAAGUUGGCAAGUACACCGAAAAUGUAUGAUGAAUGUGAUGAGAACAUAACCAGUCCACAGCAUUGUAAUCGGAUUUAUCUUUGCUAAAAACUAGCUUUUCUAAUUUUCAGGAAGGACGCCAGAGAAUGCCAAGUGGCUGGAAAGUCUUAGAAAGAGUAAAAUGUAUGGGGCUCAAAUCUCCUUUUCCCCAAAGAUUACCUACGCAGUUUAUAUCUAAUGACAUCUCGCCUGCACUUUUUUAAAAUCUCGAAUUUGGAUUCUACCAUGUUGAAGAGGUGUCUAGCCCUAACCCAGUUGGAUUUAGUUCUGUGUCUUCGUGGCGAACCCUCUCAAUGACAUAGUCUCCCCCCCUGACCUCCUCUCCUUCUGGCCCACCCACCUGCAAAUCUGCCUCAUCUCGUCUUAUCUCCAGGCCCUUGCACUGAGGCCAGUCAACCUCAGUUUUCUUGUGCAAAAAAAAGACAUGGAUAUUUCCCUUCUUAGCAACAAGCAUAUUCUGCCGUACUUUGUGUUGGAAAGUUAUCGAUGCUAGGUACGGAAAAAAAAGCUGGAGAAGUCCAAAUUAUUUUGAUUCACUUACACUCAUAUUUUGAAUUUAAAAACUCUCCAAACCAACACAACAACAACAACAACAAAACGGUACUUAUCUUAAGUCUGAUGUGGCAAAUAAUUUUUUUAAAUGGGUCAGAUAAUUGCCUAGGUUAAAUUCAUGGUUCAGAAAGCUUAACAUGCAUUAGAAAUGUUUAACCAGGCUAAAAAUGUAAGCCUUCAAUAUACCACUGGCAAAAAGGUUUUAGAAUUCAGAAGAGAUUGUGUUGAAUGUGUAUAUCACCUCCAGGCAUAACAUGAUUUUCAACCAAAUCCUGAUAAACCUUCUGAAACUGUAUUUCAUCUUUUUGAGAGCAUGCAAUUUUUUUUUUGCAAAGGAAUGUAGUUAUUAAAUAAGGGCAGAACGAUAAUAUUUAUGUGCAACAACUUUGUCUCACAAAGUCACAUCCCUAAAACAUUUCCUGCGUUGUUAGUAUAGUUUCAUGGGCAUAUUCUUACUUUAUGAUAUUGCCUCCUGGGCUCAAAAAUAACAAAUCAUAUCACUUAGCACCGGUUCUUAUUCCGACUAGAUAUUGAAGAGAAAACAUGUUACUUUGGCAGGAAGUUGCACAGGACGUUCUGUGUUACGGUUUUCCAUCACUUGCUCUGUCCUGGAGUGGUCCCCACAUCUGCAUAGGCAUGAAACACAUGCACCUGUGGCUGAAGUCUUGUGUAAACAAAUGCUUCUCUGAAAUAGUUAAAAUAUGCUUGUAAUCUGAAAACAAAUCAACUCAGGCGUUCAAGAAGAAAUAAGGCUUUAGAUUUUUUUCUUGAGUUGGAAAGGGAGAAAUGUGUAGUCGGAAUGGGAGUGAAUCUCCCUGGAAACAAUACAAAGUCUGAUCUCAAUAUCUACUAAAAUUCUCCCUCCUGGUAGCGGUGUCCGAGCACCAGUUGGCAAUCAUGAGCGCUGAACGGGAUGUCAUGCACACUUCUGGAAAAGGUAGCCUGGGUUCAGGAUCGCCACCGUUUCAGGAGCCAAGCUUUCAGGAUACAUUUCAUAAACAUUUAGUGAAAUUCAGUUUGACUAAGAGGAGACUUGCCAUUCUCUGUGUUUGUAGGAAAUGGGUUAAUUUUCUAAUUAAAAAGGUGAUAACUAAAAGGAAGGAAGGAAAAGUUCUACAGAGGCCUCUGAAGAAAAAGUUUCACUUAUGUGACCGAGAGAAGUCAGGGUCUUUGCCUGGCGGGUUAUUGCUGUUUUGUACCUAAACCGCCUCCACCUGCCUCCGCAGCCCAAUCCCCGCCGGCUGCACCAGUUACCCAGGGACAAAUCACUUCUCCCACUCUAAUUAGUCUUCCCAGCACCCCUCUGAGGCAGGUAAAUAAAUUUCCCACCAGGGAAAAACGAGGAUGAGGUUGGCUUCCUGUUCCGUGAUAACCCCUGACAACCGGACAACCCUCAUCUCCGCCUCCAGAAUCAAGAAUCUCCUAUAGUGUGAAUGCAUAUUCUGUUUCAUAGAAUACACUUGUCUGUUUAAAACAGUCGUUGUAUUCAACACAGAGGUUUUUGGUUUUCUACUAAACCAAACAUUCCAUUUAAUGAUCACACGAUAAAAGAUAAACGCUGAUGCUUUUGCGGUCGCCAACCGAUUGUCACCUCUUGGUUGCCAAUUCACCUAAACUUUGGGCUGAGCAUCCUGACAAUAACGUGAAGGUACAAGCGUUGGAAAAGGACUUCAUACACAGGUCGGGGAAGAAGAAAAGCAAGUUCAAGAUGGAUUGGUGUGCACAUCCGCGGCCGGGGGCUGGGAGCAGUGGGGCAGCUCUCCAAGAACACCUUCCAAGGAGCUUUUCCAAAGCAGAGAGCAAUGCCUGCCCCGCGGGGUCAGGUGGCAGGGCUGGCGGCCCACCUGAUUCCGGGAAACUUCUGCACCUGAUGGGAGGGGGGAUGGGUCAAGGACGGGGCCGCCGAGCCCACACAGGCCUUCUAACUUGGCGCCUUGUGUAGAAAUAGGCACAAACACCACCUAGGAAUCUAUAAACCAUUUAGAUUUUCUCUGGAAACCCUUUCACGAUCUUUGCAUAGCUGAACCCCUUCAGGGCUCCGUGUGUGGGCUGACCAGCACCACAAAGCUCAUUCUGGAGCAUAAGCACGCUUAAUGGGAGGGGCCUGAGUUUGGACCAGCUUCAGAGCUGCCAGUAGGGAUUGCACACAAUGGCGGAAAUACACAUGAUCACCAAUCCACCAAUCAGACGAAACGAGGAAGACACGCCCCCCCAAUAAUCACGAAUACAAAAGUCCUAAGACUAUCUCAGACUUCCCUUCUGACAGAUGAAUUUCUCUUUGAUGUCAUCUUUUUCUUUUUAUUCCCGUGACUACAAAGAAAAACCCAAAUAUUCCAGUGUGUGUGAUAACCAGUUAGUUCUUGGUCAUCAAUAAUGCAAGUCAAAAAAAAAAUUAUAUCUUUUUUUUUUUCAUUUGGUAAAAACAGCUUUUACUUCUCCUGACACUGUGGAAUUUACCAGGAAAUAACUUGGGGGAUUGGGUCCAGGACCCCCUGGGGUACCCAAAUCCAAGGAUGCUAAAGUGCCUUUCAGUGGCCUUCCCUCUGUAUCUGUGGACAUGGAACCCUUAGAUACCGGGCUGCCUGUAAUUGAAACUAUUUUUAUGUGUAAAGAGGUAAAAUAAAUCCUUAAAAUCGAAACUUCCUAUUUGAAGAAUAAAACAUUAACAUAUGAUUAUUUCCCUUGAAUGUUUCUACCCUGUAGACUUUGUGAGUUAUUAAGAGUGGAUGAAGAGCAGAGGAGCAAUUAUACAAUCAUAAAAGAUGGAAAAUGGCUAAAUAACAGGGUUCUUGGCCAGGCAGGCACCAGGAAGCAGGCCUCCAGAACUUUUGCUCUGAAGUGGCUCUGUGCUAUGAGCACCUCUCAGUACACAGGGGCCAGCCUCCCAAACCUCUUCUGGUCACAUGUUUGCUGAAAGUCAAUCACAAAAUCCAAUAGCAUUUGCUCUGUAUUAUUUAGUUCUCUUUGCACCACAAAGAGAUUUUUAGCAGCAGAAUAUCACCGGCAAUCGAUUAAUGCACAAGAAAGUUAAAUUCCAUUACCUACAACACCUGAGCAUUUGUUGUCUGUCUACACAACACCAGACAACAGAAUGAAAAACUAAGGAUUCAAACACCCGGGUUUCCCCACAUAACCAGAUGUUUGCCAUCACAAGAACCAAAUUCGCUCCUUGAGUGACCUACUUCUUGACUUUUUUGUUUGCAUUCCUGUGGACAGCCUUUAUUUUUUCAUAAUGCCAAAAUGUCUACUUCUGUGUAGUGAAGAUGGUUCUGCAAUCAUCUGGAAAAUUCAGAUGUCGAAAGCCCCCACAUGAAAAGAAACUUAGUCAUGAGGAAAAAUCAGAGCUUUAGGGCUGUCAAUGGUCCAGUGGUUUUAUCUACAUUGGAAAAUUGCUUAAUUGUCCACCUCUUUUCACGUCCAUUAUUCUGAAAAAUCAUUCUCACAAGAAUCCUUUUUCCUUUUUGGGGACAGAGACACAGACUAGGUGAUGGCAGAAUCAAGUUCCAAAGCAUGUAGAAAUGAUUCAGCUCACACUUGUAAACCUGGGUUCAUGGGUUUGACCAUAAAGGUUCUUGCAAUGUCAUGAUGUCUUUACAAUGGGAUGAUGAGGUUCUUGCAAUGUCAUGAUGUCUUUACAAUGAGAUGGUGAUGUUCUUGCAAUAUCUUGAUGUCUUUACAAUGGGAUGAGGAGGUUUUUGCGAUGUCACGAUGUCUUUACAACAGGAUGGUGAGCAAGGCCAUGGUAACCCUGAAUCUCCCUGCUGUUAAAGUGAGAAAUGAUUCAGUGGUCAUGUUCUACACACAAGGGUACUUACUAUACCUUCAAACAUCUCAUUUUAUUACUCAUCAGAAACCCUUGGCAUGCUGAGCUAUCCAGCAGCAAAUGGACCAAUGACCAAGGACAACUGUCAAGGGGGAGAGUUCCCUAAGGACAGAGUUAGUAUCAGACACAGAGCCACUGAUGUCUUCUCUGUCUUUGUGCUCAGCCAUGCCUUGGCCUUUCAUGAGUGGACACAACUACAGUCAUAGUCAUGGGGCAGCAGGCCCACCUUCAACCUCUUCCCAUGAAAGAGGCAAAUAUCCAUGAAGAGUCACUGGUAGGUUCCCUCUUCAACCCACACACCCGCCACCUGUGUGUCAACAGCCAACUUCUGCCCAUCGCUGCCUAGAGUCACUCUUACUCAAGAGCCUCAUUUUAGAGCAUGGCUGAUUGCCUCUGUGUCCCCAUGGUCAACCAACUUACUGAACAAUGCAGGAUAUCUCUGCAUUUUUGGGGGCUUUGGAGAGCAGGAAAUUAACAUUUUCUUCCAUGUGUUAGUUUUCAUAGCCUUACAAUUGAAAGUAACCCAAGUGGUGGUAGGCCUCUUUUUUUUUUUUUUAAACCAUUACAUUUCAAUGCUUGUGCCAAGCAAAACUAGUUCUGAGAAAUUAUUUGCCAAAGUAGAGGAUGCAGGACAGUCCUGGCUCCUGUAACAGGUACUCUCACUCAUGGUUCUUGGUACCUCUUGGAGAAGGUCACCAACAUGGUCAAAGGAGAAAGACUGCUGAAAUGCACACAGAAAGGAUUCCUGCUUCUUCUUCUUUACCUAUUAGGUUAGUCAAACCUGAAAACUUUGACUCAUUCUUCUAGUGUUAACUCCUAAAACUGUUCUACCAAAAGUUUGGACAGAAAGCUUUUUAAGUUCAUAAGGAUGUCUGACGUUCUAUGAACUCAGAAAGUACAAUCUGAAAUACAUCUCUCCUUGCCUUGCAGCUCAGAACUUUCUUUAAAAACAGAGGAGCAAGUGGAAUUGAACCCUGCUUUUUAAUUUUGAGACCACCCAUUUAGUUUUAAGUGAACCCUCAAAACUGAAGAAGUUUUGAAAACGCACUAAGAAGUCAGAUGGGUGAUCCUAGAGCUUGAAACCAAGGUUUUGCGGACUCUGAGAGCAACAGGAGGUGCAAUUCCACAUACACAGGUAUCUCAGUGUGAAACUGGCAGUGUCACCACCUAGGAAGGCAGGAAUCAAAUUCUUCAGCAGCUACAUCCAUGCAGAUUUUACCUCUGAAUUAUCAAUACAAUGUUUGUAAAAUGGUUAUUACAAUGCUGACAACGGCAGCCUCAAGAAAUGUAGAGCAGCAACUUGACUCCGACAGAUCAAUCAUAAGAAGAUGACAGUGACAAUGACUUUUUUUUUUUUUUCAUUUCCAAACACAAGUAGACUUGUAUCCAUUUAGGGUGGGUUCUAUAACCUAGUAGCUGUUCUCUGAGCUAUACAAACCCUUAGGAAUCCAUUAACUUUUUCCUCAUUUUUUUUUUUUUUCCAAAUCCGCGCUUACUGGCCAAAACAAAUGAAGCAGGUGAAUACUCAUGGCAUGAAUGACGGAAUGAUGAAGCAGGUAGCAUGAAUUCCUGAGAGCUCUGCUUCACAGAAGACUUCCUCCCCAGGCCUGUGCGCCUCACAGCAUGGAACCAAUGCCCCUUUCCACUAACUGAUUCAAGCCCCUGGAAGUAGCUCGGCUACAGUAUUACAAGUCAAGAAUUGGCAAGAUUAAAGGGUCUGUUGAAUUAGCACAAAUCACCUUCAGUAAAGCUUGGCAAGUUCCAAGAAUGUUUCCGUAAAAAAGAAGGGACUCAAUAGCAUCAGCAAAUAUGCAGCUUGUGACAGCCGAGUCUCGUGUGUCUGGUGUGGCUGGCUUGUCCCAGCCCCCUGCCCCUUGCUCAAGGCAGAAGCAUUCUCUCCCUGUUCACAGAACACUAAAACUCUGAUUCAGACCGAGGGAAACAUUUCACUUCAGGCUUUCGAGACACACUUCAGAGGUCCAUUUCUUUUUCUGUGUACAAUAUAUUAGACAGGUUAAUAAGGGUAGCUGAAUAUUUUGAAAGACGGUUAUGAAAUGACAGUUCUUUGACUAGCCGACCGAUCUCCUUUGGUUACAGGAUGACGUGUAAUUGUUAUUGAUUUGAAUAGAAUAAAAACUCUCAGCAACAUAACUAGAAAGCCACAGGUAGCAGGGUAAUUGCUGUUAUUGUAGUGGGGACCUGACAUGCCAAACUCAAGGGCUCAUUUGCCAGAACCGCAAACAGAUGGAAAUACCAGUGUUGCAGAAGAUGCAUUCCACCAGCUUGUAGUCAAAAUCGGAAUUUCUCACAAUGAUCGAAACCCCAACAUGUAUCUUCGACAUACUUCAGGGUGUUUGAGAACGUACUGAUAGAUGAAUUAAUUUGAAAUAAUGAAGUGUUGAUUUGAUACAACUCUAUACCAGACUGCCACAAGAACAGUUCAAUUAAAUUAGCUUAAACACAACAUCUCCAUUUGUUAAUAUUUGCAGCACUUAAAUGAAGUAAGAAUUUGAUUAGUUCCAUUUGAAUGCAAAUCAAGCAACAGAGGAGCCGGUCACCAGCUUAAAUUGGUAGAUGGAAGUAAAAUAAAAACACGAAACCGUACAUUUUCUGAAAUUCUAAUAACAGAGUAGAUGACAGGCUUCAAUGAUAGCACAGGAUGGAAUUUUGUGCGGGUGGCAUUGGCUUAUCAAGUCGGUUAAUUAGUUUAGAUGUUAAUCUGUUUUGUUGAACAUGAGAUUUCUCUGCAAACCUCCUGUCAGGGUAACUAUGCUCUUGUCUAAUGCAAGAGCUGAAAGGGCGGUGAUCAUCUUAGUGAACUUCUGAUGGUGGCAGGAGCCUAGAAAUCAGGGCUCUGAGAGCCCUAUGAUCAGGUCGCCUAUUCUACGGAUGCUUCAUGGGAUUCACCAAGGAAUUCUUGGAGUGACUCUGUGCUCAUUAAGUGAAUACGCUUCCUUCUCUCUUUCCUUUUAUCCCAUAGAGGACCUAUGGGCUUAUGGCAUUCCCUGGCCAGAAUGAUUUCACUCAGAGAAAAUUAGUUAUGCAAGUUCAUGGUUAUCUUUAAGCAACGUGCUCUUAAUGUCUGUGGGAAGCCAAUUGCUCUAGGCCAUAUUGCAGAGAAGACUGGGAUAUGGGUGCCCGCAAGGGCUGGGGCUGGCUGUCCUGACUCCCGAAAGGCCAUGAGGUUCAGUGUUGCUCCUCUGAUCAUCUGGGCCAGUGCUUCAGAAUGGCCCUCAGUUUGCCAUAACUGAGGUUUACGUCUGCAAAUCUGUUGUUUCUAAAUAAUGUAUAUGCUGGAGCUACCAUGACAUCUAACUCUUAUAUACAGAGAGGUAUCUUUGCAAGGGUUCUCUAAUGCUCAUAGAAAAGGGGGAUCUUUUAUAAGCCUGCAUGUCCCAUGUGCACUCUCCUCCCUCUGGGUCCUGAUUCUCUCUACCUGACGGUCCCUCUGCCAUUCAUCUGUGGCCAGAACGAGCCAUUCCAUUAAAAACCAGAAUGGUGACUGGGACAAAGAAGUAUCAUACCUGCUCAUAAAGGAUGUUUCCUGAAGGUUAGAAAAGUGCCAACGAGAGUAAUUUUCAGAUAUUUCAGAGUCAUCCUACUUUCACAUCUCUUCUUUAAAGAAAUUCUCAGGAAUAUCUCUCCAAAGCUUAUUCAGAGGUGAUGGUUUCGAGUGAAAUGCCAUGUGCCACAAGAGCAUACCAAUUUCUUUUGUUGCUUUGUGGCCUUGAUUUAAAGAUAUCUAGUAUUGGAGAGGCAUAAACACAAAUUAUUAAAUAACUUUCUCUUUAUAGGCAGUCAUCCGUUGUUGACUUAUCUUUCUAUUUACAUCAUUCUCUUAUGUUGGCCAUUGUGAGGGCUAAUUGUGUAUUGUGAGGCUUACAUAAUACAACCUUGGAAAAGCUUGUGUGUCUUCAUUGCCCUGGUAUAGUGUUAAAUAUAGAUGUUAAAAGAGAAGCAGUGUGGUAGGGUAGAAAGAUUGAGAGCUGAAGUCAAAAGGCUCUUCUGAAACCGAUAACCAAAGUGUGAGCUGUUGAAAUAUGGAAUUCCCUCUGGCGUGAUUGUGUAUUGUCUGGCAGUGGAGGCCUAGAGCUCAUGCUUGAUAGGUGAGUGGCUGAAAGAUCCUGGUGAUAAAAAAAACCCUGGUCUCUUUGGACCUUAGGUGCACUUGUCUCUGAAAGAAGUGGGCUGCAGUGACACUAAAAUCUUGUUUAGAUGCUAUUUUUUUUUUUUAUAGAAACUAGUGACUCAGAAUUUAACCUCACUUCACAAAGAGCUGCUUAAAUCAUAUUGAGGGAGGAGAAGACAGAUGAUCGCUUGCAUCUUUAAUAUGUUAUAUUAAGAUUGAUCUCUACAUACGCUUUUUAAAAUAAACAGCAAGGUUGAGAAAAGUUUGGGCUCACUGUUGGCUACCUUUUGAGCAUGAAUUUAACCAACACACACACACACACACACAUACAGCUUUGUACCCAGCAACAUCACUGAAUGGGUCACAACCCUGUCAUCCUGUAGACCAGGACACUUGACACCUAAGCAGAGAAGAGAAAGGACACAUACAUUAUUUUAUGAUCCAACUCAACAAAUAUUUGGUAAACGUUUGCUCUAUCAGUUAGGGUAAACUUUCCAUUAAGAUGAGCUGCCUAGAUUUAUCUGAUGGCUCAGCUUGUGGUAAAUACAUCCUCCCAGGUAUUACAUUUUGUGACUUGUGAGACAUUAAAGAAAAUUUAGGAGUUCCCGUCGUGGCUCAGUGGUUAACGAAUCCGACUAGGAACCAUGAGGUUGCAGGUUCGAUCCCUGCCCUUGUUCAGUGGGUUGACGACCUGGCGUUGCCAUGAGCUGUGGUGUAGGUCACAGAUGCGGCUCAGAUCCCGAGAUGCUGAGGCUCUGGCGUAGGCCAGCAGCUAUGGCUCCGAUUAGACCCCUAGUCUGGGAACCUCCAUAUGCCAUGGGAAUGGCCCUAGAAAAGGCAAAAAGACACACACACACAAAAGAAAAGAAAAUCUAGGGGGAAAUUAUGGUGAUGGAACAGAAUUCCCUUAUACUAUGGAAAUAUAGUCACUCAAAGAUUUGUUAGAUCCUUCUUUCCUUCUUCCUUCCUCUCUCCGUGUUUUAUAUAUUUAUUUAUUUAUUUAUUUUUUCCAGCCAGAGGGUCAAGGUCAAUGGUGGGGGUUGAGCUAUUUUUUUUAGUCUGCGUAACUGGAUGAGAUUAGUGUACAUGUAGACAAUACAAGGAAAAAAACGUCAGGUUAAUUUUUAUUUAUCACUUGCACUCAGUGCCAGGUGGGGCCAUGGGGAUGGGGUGACAGUUGUCUGGCGUGGAAGCAUUCAUCUGCCUACUGUGACUUAGGUAGUUGCAAUAAAAUUCAGUGCCUGGAGGAAGAGACUUCUGUUUCUUAUCAAAUAUUGGUUGGGUUGGAUUAUAAAAUAAUCCAUGCGUCCUUUUGCAUUUUUAACUUGCUGUUUGAAAAACAUCCUUGACUUUUAAAUGAAAUUUUCUUUGAAACAUUUGAUUGUCAAACCAUGUUUUUGUUUCUCUUGAGCCCUUGCUACCUCAGGAAGCGAUUUUGGUGGGAAAACAUUCCUUGGUUUUCUAGAAGGACUUGCAGUUGUUAGACAUCAUUACAAGGUGUAUUCAAUCCUCAGCUCUGCUGUUUCUUAGCUGUGGGACUCCUGGAUAGUUUGAUACCUCUGAGCUUAAGUUUUGUCAUCGGUACAUGGUACCUAAUGCACAGAUGGCUAUGAGAAUGGGAUGGAAUCAUUAGAUAAAGCUCAUUUGCACAGCCCGGGCACACAAUCUGCUCUUAGGCAUAGAAAUCUACCAUCAAAAUGGGGAGUCAACUGCAUAAAGUCUUGCAGGGGGAUGGGGUGGGGAAGCCAAAGCAAAAACUUGAUUCAAUCAGUGUUUCUGAGUUAUGUUCACAUACAUGGAUGUGAUCUUAGCAAAGCAACUAGACGUUUCAGAGACACUAACAUGCCCCUUGUUUUGCAGAAUGUAAGGCUGCAGUUUUACAUUUCUUAGCUAGAUCACUGCAUGCAAUAUUACAGGUCUGUUUUUUGUUUUUUUUUUUUUCUUAUGGAAUCUAGAGAAAGAGCUUCAGAUGGAUAGGGAAACAAUGUGAUGCCUCAAACACUCAAGGGAGAGUUUCUGAACCCCUCAUUUCUGUGAGUAAAUGGCUGUUUGCCACUUCUUCCAUUUGGCUUUCUGCUGUGAGAGCAGGCGGUGUGGAGCUCGCCUAAUUGCUACAAUUAGCAAAAUUAAAUGGCUCAUCGUGUUUUUAUACAAUUCCAUCCACAUUCCACAGAGUUUUAGCUUUGAGGCUGGUGAUCGCAGACACUUACUGCACCUUUCCAUGGGCCCAUUUUUAGGACAGCUACUGGACAAGACACAUGUCCACAGAGAGCACUCUGCAGUGGACAGUGCCACCUGCCAGAGUGAGGAGAGGGGGUGCCACCCAACAGUCAAGGUGGUUUCCCAGCGGGAUGAAGGUCGGGGCCAGAGACUUGGAAAUGGGGGGUGGGGUGGAGGUGGAAGAGGGAAAUGGACCAUCCUUAGCCACUUUGACUGCUUCUGCUUCAGAUGGGGAGAAAAAGUAUUAUGUGUCACAAGCUGGCAGAAGCCAUCAUUUUGAUUGUUUUCAAAAGUGACAUCGGGUUGCUGAAGAUAAGUGAACGUGAGCUGAUCUGCAUCCAUCACUGAAAUUAGAGGGACGACCAGCUCAGUGCUGCUGUGUCUGCAUCUUGCAUAUCCACCAUCUUCUGAGCUAUUUUUUUCUGAAAGACAGCCUGAGCUAUUUUUUUAAAGGCUGAAAGGAAUUCUGCUUAGAAACAUAAAGAUGCAGGCACCUCAGCCAGGCUUUCUAUAGAAACAGGAACAGCUAACGGCAAAAGUUUCUGAGAAUGCAGGGGAACGGAUAUUUUGUCUAGAAAAAUGGUUGGUUGGAAGAAAAAAUUCUGGAUUCUUGGCCAAAUAGUGUGUCAGAACUUUUUUCCACUCAAUGGCAUUUGGUUCAGUUAAAGGCAACUAAAUAACCUUAUGUAAUCCUGCUAAGGACACUGGGGGUUUUCUUUGCUCCAUUCAGUCUAUUUAGAGAGAGAAACUUUGAAAUGAUUCAAAACUAUUCUAGUCAACUGCUUAAAAGAUGAGAUCCUUGAGGAGUGGGAAAGCUUGUACAAGCUAAAAGUGCUCAAUUCCAACCUAAUUCUAGGUAUUUCCAACCGAAGCUCAGAAGUGUGUUGAUGUCUUAGAGACAUGGACUCAUCAGCUUGGGCUGACGCUGAAAAGGAGCGGGGAAAAGGCUUUUUAUCUAGAAGUUCAUGUGUCAAUAGGGCAUGGAAGGGCAAUACAUACUUUACUCUUUUUACCUGCUACUUUAGCUGUGUGUGUGUGUGUUUGUAUUAUAUAUAACGUGUAUGUUAUCUAUACCCCACACACAUAUAUACGAUGUUUUUU
Sus scrofa (pig) is the source of this 13940-nucleotide non-coding RNA. The record is from RefSeq and is a predicted model, not a curated record. NCBI's taxonomy places the organism in Eukaryota, Metazoa, Chordata, Mammalia, Artiodactyla, Suidae.